GGGGUUGUAACUCAGCGGUGGAGUGCUCACCUAGCACGUGUGAGGCCGGGGUUCGAUCCUCAGCACCACA
RNAcentral lists this transfer RNA (70 nucleotides) under Marmota monax (woodchuck). RNAcentral's name for it is "tRNA.Ala". It matches the Rfam family "tRNA". Rfam says of the family: Transfer RNA (tRNA) molecules are approximately 80 nucleotides in length. Their secondary structure includes four short double-helical elements and three loops (D, anti-codon, and T loops). Further hydrogen bonds mediate the characteristic L-shaped molecular structure. tRNAs have two regions of fundamental functional importance: the anti-codon, which is responsible for specific mRNA codon recognition, and the 3' end, to which the tRNAs corresponding amino acid is attached (by aminoacyl-tRNA synthetases). tRNAs cope with the degeneracy of the genetic code in two manners: having more than one tRNA (with a specific anti-codon) for a particular amino acid; and 'wobble' base-pairing, i.e. permitting non-standard base-pairing at the 3rd anti-codon position. The record is from RNAcentral. Lineage: Eukaryota; Metazoa; Chordata; Mammalia; Rodentia; Sciuridae.